Molecule: ribosomal RNA, 253 nt
Filed under: uncultured bacterium
Lineage: Bacteria
Description: partial 16S ribosomal RNA
Rfam family: Bacterial small subunit ribosomal RNA
Source: RNAcentral
UACGUAGGGGGCAAGCGUUGUCCGGAUUUAUUGGGCGUAAAGAGCGUGUAGGCGGCCAUACAGGUCAGCUGUGAAAACUCGAGGCUCAACCUCGAGACGUCGGUUGAAACCGUAUGGCUAGAGUCCGGAAGAGGAGAGUGGAAUUCCCGGUGUAGCGGUGAAAUGCGCAGAUAUCGGGAGGAACACCGGUGGCGAAGGCGGGUCUCUGGGCAAUAACUGACGCUGAGGAGCGAAAGCGUGGGGAGCGAACAGG